AGCAGCCGCGGUAAUUCCAGCUCCAAUAGCGUAUAUUAAAGUUGUUGCAGUUAAAAAGCUCGUAGUUGAAUUUCGAGAUCAAAAUUGUUGGUCGUGCCUUGGUACGUACUGGCAUUAUUGGUUUCUCCCUUCUGACGAACCAAGAUGUCAUUAAUUUGGUGUCUUGGGGAAUCAGGACCGUUACCUUGAAAAAAUUGAGUGUUUAAAGCAGGCUCGCGCUUGAAUACAUUAGCGUGGAAUAAUGAAAUAGGACGUUUGAUUCUAUUUUGUUGGUUUCUAGGAUCGACGUAAUGAUUAAUAGGGAUAGUUGGGGGCAUUAGUAUUCAAUUGUCAGAGGUGAAAUUCUUGGAUUUAUUGAAGACUAACUACUGCGAAAGCAUUUGCCAAGGAUGUUUUCAUUAAUCAAGAACGAAGUUAGGGAUCGAAGACGAUCAGAUACCGUGUAGUCUUAACCAUAAACUAUGACCGACUAGGGAUCGGAUGAUGUUUAAUUUUUUAAUGUACUNUAUUCGGCGCCUUA
Molecule: ribosomal RNA, 520 nt
Filed under: uncultured Glomus
Lineage: Eukaryota; Fungi; Glomeromycota; Glomeromycetes; Glomerales; Glomeraceae
Description: SSU rRNA
Rfam family: Eukaryotic small subunit ribosomal RNA
Source: RNAcentral